AGUCUGUUCUUUGUGUUGACCUCACUACACCCACACAACUAUUUUAUAGGACCUUUAAGCACUGGAUACACUUUACUAUCAAUACCUAGUUCUACAUUUUGGCUAUAAAGUUUUGGAAUGCCAGUCCAACUGUCAGAAUGCUGUUGAGAAUAUCCUUUUUUUUUGCAUGCUGUAAACGGUGAUGGCCUCCACAAGGCAGUGGACGUGGUGUGUGAUGAUUACGGUAUUUGCAGGGCCCCCUUCUCAGGUAUCCUGGGGGGUCCAGUGGUCGGUAUCCUGUGUGAUGGCAUUAAACUCUAACUCUGGUGAGAACUUCAUACUGUACGGUGUACACUUGUAGCUUCAUUGCGGUAGAUCUCACAUUCAGUGACAACCACACAGGAGACUCGUAACUCAAGGAUGCUCCUACACCAUGACUGUGAGAGCUUGAACAGCACUAACUAAUGAUUAUAACCUGUCUCCAUGAUCUAGUAGCAUGUAAUGGUGCAUUAGGUAGGCCUAUGUUCUACCCAGGCUGAUGUCUCACUAUAGAGGAAGUAACGAGUGAUUUGGAGGGAUUAGCCAAAACACUGGAGCAGGGCUGAGAUUACACUGAACUCCCCUUUGACACUUGGACCUGGCUGUUCUUAAAAUCCCAUCAAAGACAGCUAACACAUGAGGAUCUGGCCGUCAUUAAGAACGCAGCAAUGCGUCUGCAUUAGCCAUCUGCAUCCUGGCCUGAAAAGCAGCAGUGCAGGAACAGCUAAACAACAGUAUUCUGGUCCUUGCUACCUCUAAUUGAACUGCGG
Molecule: long non-coding RNA, 788 nt
Filed under: Salmo salar (Atlantic salmon)
Lineage: Eukaryota; Metazoa; Chordata; Actinopteri; Salmoniformes; Salmonidae
Description: lncRNA (ENSSSAG00000084035.1)
Source: RNAcentral